This is a long non-coding RNA of Harpegnathos saltator (Jerdon's jumping ant), 257 nucleotides long. RefSeq lists it as uncharacterized. The transcript has 3 exons. Lineage: Eukaryota; Metazoa; Arthropoda; Insecta; Hymenoptera; Formicidae. The record is from RefSeq and is a predicted model, not a curated record.
AAGUAGAAAAUUUCAAUAACCUUUUGAAGGAUGAUAACGUUCGGCGACAAUUUAUUGAGAAAAUGUCACAAAUAGGCGGAGAAACUGUAGCUAAAAAUGUAAGACAUAUAAUGUCGCAAACCAUUGGCUACGAAGUUGCGCAGGCAUAUACGUGGAUAGGACAAAAAAAAGUUAUCUUUAAAAAAAUCGAAACUUUCGGAGUCAAUAAUUGGACGCGGCAACUACUUACCACGUGGCGGGAAUUCGUGCGAUAGCCA